CUUGGGAAAAUGUUGUGAUAUAUAUAUUAUAAUGUCCUUGGUGUAUGUGCCUUGCAAUUAGGCAACAGUUUUUUUUCCGGUAUUUUUUUUCGAGGGUAUCUAAAGUGGGGGAAUGCGUUCGCCCAUGCCCAACGUCAUGCUGCUCAAUUUGCGUUGACUGGCUGUAACAUUAUCUUGUUUGCUCACGACACGCGCCGCAGACGCAUCGAGUCCAGAAGGCAGCCAGACUCUGGCUGGAGAAUGCGGAGCUGGUGGCAUGUUUGCAGCUGCUUUGGCAUUGUCCGGCUUUGGCAUUUCGCUCAUUUUACUUGGCUGCGGCUUUUGUCAUUUUUCUUCGCGCUUUUCCUAGCCAUUUUUUUUUUGAUUUUUUUUCCAUAAGUCAUUUGUGAUUUAAGUCUUUGGCUUGUCAAAACAAAUGAAAUGGAGCGUUGAAAUAACUGACAGUCCGAGCUGGCCAAUGGGCUUGUUCAGCUACAAUAACUGGUAGAAGAAGAAGAGGGGGAAGAUGAGGGGCAAGCUGGAGCAGCAGCCAGCAGGCAUUCGGCUGCCAUGUUCUGUGCGCAUUUGGAAUCCGGUCGAAAUUUAAUUAAUUUCCAUUCAAGCCACACCCCCCGCCCAUGCCUGGACUGGACGUGUAAGUAGCUGCUUAAUAAAGCCUCGACAAACAUAUUUCACAAGAAUUCAUAACAAAGCAUGCAAAACGCAAACACACAAAAUAAUAGAAAGAAUUCCCACACUCUUUGGCACACUUACAUGCUUGCAGGGAAUACCUCUAUUAUUAUUGGACUCAGGUGUGGGCGGUGCGCAGUGCUCAGACCAAGUAUCUGGCCACAAAGCGGCUACAAAUUACGCAGCUUAGAAUAUGGUACGAAAAAAUAAAGAAGAACAAGUUGUCCAAAAACAAAAAGAUAAAUGUGCCGGGCUGCUUACUACGGCUUACAAUGCGUCCAACUAAUUGAAUAAAGUGGCCUCUAAAUUGCUUUUGAUUUUCAUUUUGACCAAAUGCUGGCUGAAAUUUAAGACACACUUUUCAUUUAAAGAACAUAAGUAAAUAAAGUGUA
Molecule: RNA transcript, 1061 nt
Organism: Drosophila novamexicana
Lineage: Eukaryota; Metazoa; Arthropoda; Insecta; Diptera; Drosophilidae
Exons: 2
Source: RefSeq, a predicted model, not a curated record